AACGAACGCUGGCGGCAGGCCUAACACAUGCAAGUCGAACGAGAAGCGUGCCUUCGGGUGCGUGGAAAGUGGCAGACGGGUGAGUAACGCGUGGGAACGUACCCUUUGGUUCGGAACAACUCCGGGAAACUGGAGCUAAUACCGGAUGUGCCCUUCGGGGGAAAGAUUUAUCGCCAAGGGAUCGGCCCGCGUCGGAUUAGCUUGUUGGUGGGUAACGGCCUACCAAGGCUAUGAUCCGUAGCUGGUCUGAGAGGAUGAUCAGCCACACUGGGACUGAGACACGGCCCAGACUCCUACGGGAGGCAGCAGUGGGGAAUAUUGGACAAUGGGCGCAAGCCUGAUCCAGCCAUGCCGCGUGAGUGAUGAAGGCCUUAGGGUUGUAAAGCUCUUUCGCCAGGGACGAUAAUGACGGUACCUGGAUAAGAAGCCCCGGCUAACUUCGUG
RNAcentral lists this ribosomal RNA (444 nucleotides) under uncultured bacterium. RNAcentral describes it as "bacterial SSU rRNA". It matches the Rfam family "Bacterial small subunit ribosomal RNA", at positions 29 to 507 of the family's 1533-position model. The record is from RNAcentral.